Molecule: transfer RNA, 85 nt
Filed under: Nitrobacter winogradskyi
Lineage: Bacteria; Pseudomonadati; Pseudomonadota; Alphaproteobacteria; Hyphomicrobiales; Nitrobacteraceae
Description: tRNA-Asp
Source: RNAcentral
GGUGAAGCGCAGGCGGUCGCGCCGGCCGAGGCCGGCUAUCGCCCGACCGAUCCACAAAUCGCGUUCCACCUCGCGCGCCUCAUCG